Molecule: long non-coding RNA, 2215 nt
Filed under: Fukomys damarensis (Damara mole-rat)
Lineage: Eukaryota; Metazoa; Chordata; Mammalia; Rodentia; Bathyergidae
Description: lncRNA (ENSFDAG00000032447.1)
Source: RNAcentral
GCCAGGGAAGAUGAGAGGAUAGAUUUCAUUCAUUGUGUAGUAUGUCAGGCUGAUUCUAGAGCUGGUCUUAUCAUGAGGGGUUCACUUUCCUUGACCCUAAUCAGGAUAUGGCUGCCAGGGGCCAUCCUUGAUCAGACAGAAUUCUGCAGCCAAGGCCAUGAUUCUGAGCCAGCACUGGUUUCUGGCUGGGACACCCAUUCUUCUGCCUAUGUUGUUUCCUCUCCACAGAGCUCUAAGUGUCGCACAACUCUGCGGUAGAACAAGGUCUUGCCUCCUUGUCCUGGGAAGCUCCUCCAGUCUCCCUGGAAUUCUGGUGCUCCAACUGCUGGAUGAGGUGGGGCUGGAGGUCCAUCCAGCUCUCCAGGCUGAGCUCCUGCAUCUCUUUCCUAUGGGGUGGGCAUUGCAAAGACCUCUUCACGUUUGUCUUUCCUGUGGAUGUUUCCACAAAAUUUACCUCCACUUUCUGCAAGCUGGGCUGCCCUCCAUCUAGAAUCAACACUGUCAGAAAAAAACCCAUCCUCCUUCAGCCUCCCCUGUCCACAGCUGCCUUCUGCAAUGCAUCCCCACAUUUGGCUGGGGGCUCCUCACCUCCUGCUUGACCAGGCCUGGCUGUCCCUCUGUGCCAGACACUAAUCCAGGCCUGCGCUCCUUGAAGGCUGCAGCCAGAUUAAUCGUCACAAGGUUUUGCUUUGAUGAUAUCACUUUAUAGACACAUAAAAAAAAAGUGUUUAGGCAGUCAGUCAUGCUAAAUCUUAACCAUCUUUACAGAUUUUUUAGUGCAGCUCAUCAAAAUUGUCACCAGCCCUGAAGAUCCCACAUUUACGGUUCAUGACAGUUCCUCAGCAGGAGUAGCAGGUACUUGUCUGGGUCUGUCCCCACACAGCCAUGGACAACUCUGCCCUCUGCCCUGGUGCAGGCCUCCUGGGCACUACCUGGAACUUGUGAUCACUUCCUGCUCACUCUGCUCGGGGGCAUCUGCAGUCACUCCCUGUAGCCAGCCCUCAUCUGCAGCAGCAGAGAACUCCAGCAGUCAGUGCCGUGGGCUCAGGUAGCUGGGUGGGAGGAGGCUGGGGUCCCUGGGGGCUGGGUUGGCAGCGAUGGACAGCCUUCUGCUGCAGCUCCCAACCGACAGCAUAGGGCAGUUAUGCCAACUCAGGAACUGUCCCUGACUUUUGAUGGUUUAUCUCAUGCUUCUUCAACUUUAUGAUGGUACGGAAGCCAUGCAUUUGGUAGAAGUAUAGUUGGAAUUUUGAACUUGCUUCUUUUCCCAUGCCAGAAGCAUGUAGUUCUACUGACAUUCUUUUACCAGGCUGGGGGCAGCGGGGAGUCACAGUGCCCAGUCAGCCCCUUGACCAAAGAAGAAACGGUGGGCACACAGUGUGCCGUGUGGCCAGCCGAGGGUGGCAGGAGGCUGGGUGACCUGAUGAUAUUUUGACAUAAAGGAUUUCUCAGCACAUAACCACAUAAUAAGUGAGGAGCCAGGGCCCACAACUUUGAGUUAUGAAAGUUGGGUUAUGGAUGUUUGUUUAUUGUUAAAGGGCUUAAUGUUGCUGCUGUGUCUAGUAAUAAUAAAAAGACUAGAUUCUAAAGAAAUAAAGACACUGGGAAAUAAAAGAGUGUCAUGGGCUCUGGAACCAGAUUCUUUGAGUUUAAAUCCUAGCUCCAACACUGGCUGGAUGAUCUUGACCCAGUCAAUUAACCUCUUUAGGCCUCAGUUUUCUCACAUGUAAAAUGGAUAAAAUUGGAAUCAAGUAUUACAGAUUUUUGGUUUGAAUAAGUGACAUAGAGCCUGGAAAGUGCUCAGAGGGCACUUGGCACUCAGUGAGUGUGCAACUGUGACCCGGCCUCCUGAUCUGACGGCUCAGGGUACUAUGGUGUGGCAUGGGCAUCCUGGUGGUGGAGUGGGCCAUCUGGAUUGGGGUGCUGACCACUGGCCCUGUGUGUCUUGUUCUGAACUGGCCUCCUACAUUCUGCUUGCAUUAGUCUGCCAUCCCAUCUGCUGGUUGUCUUCCUGGGAUGUCACAUCUAGGCCUUACCUGGGCAUAUGUCAUACCUCUCCUUGACCCACAGCAACACCUGUGCAGUCCCAAUCCCACAGCAAGCCUGACCUCACUUCCAUGGGCCUCAGGAAGAUUCUGCAACUGAGAACAUGGUCGCGUCAUGGCCUUGGAUCCCCAAGGACUUAACCUUUUAAUGGUUUACUUGGUACUUUGUG